RNAcentral lists this ribosomal RNA (251 nucleotides) under uncultured bacterium. Its description in RNAcentral is "partial 16S ribosomal RNA". It matches the Rfam family "Bacterial small subunit ribosomal RNA", at positions 8 to 224 of the family's 1533-position model. The record is from RNAcentral.
AGAGUUUGAUCCUGGCUCAGGAUGAACGCUGGCGGCAUGCCUAAGACAUGCAAGUCGAACGAGAUGGCCCAGUGAAGGUUGAGUGCUUGCACGAGACUGAAUCUGGAUUCCCAUCUAGUGGCAGACGGGUGAGUAACACGUGGGUGACCUACCUUUUCGUUGGAGGUAACAGUUGGAAACGAUUGCUAAUACCGAAUAAAAUGUAAGAGUCAAUUUUACAUUGAAAGGAGCCUUUAAAGCUUCGCGAUUAG